UAAACGACUCUCGGCAACGGAUAUCUCGGCUCACGCAUCGAUGAAGAACGUAGCAAAAUGCGAUACUUGGUGUGAAUUGCAGAAUCCCGUGAACCAUCGAGUUUUUGAACGCAAGUUGCGCCCAAAGCCAUUCGGCNGAGGGCACGUCUGCCUGGGCGUCACGC
RNAcentral lists this ribosomal RNA (164 nucleotides) under Ptilostemon gnaphaloides subsp. pseudofruticosus. RNAcentral describes it as "5.8S ribosomal RNA". It matches the Rfam family "5.8S ribosomal RNA". From Rfam's summary of the family: 5.8S ribosomal RNA (5.8S rRNA) is a component of the large subunit of the eukaryotic ribosome. The record is from RNAcentral. Lineage: Eukaryota; Viridiplantae; Streptophyta; Magnoliopsida; Asterales; Asteraceae.